GUGUGGACAGCCUACACCAAGGGAAGAGUCAGGGGAGAAGGAACACAAGACUCCGGAAGCAUGCCAGCGUAUAAAACCACACUUUGCCUCAUUGGUUCGUGCCUCAGCUUCCAAUCUGGACAUGGAGCACAAUAACAGUGGGCCCACUGCUCUCCGAAUUCCUGCGCGCACUUGAAGAAUCAGAAAUAACACAAACCACUGCAGGGUAAUUUUGAAUGCUCAUUUGACUAUGCAGUGACAUCAAGUGGCGAGUUGAGGAAUGAUCAUAUGCUGUGUGAGAACUCCGUGUUAAAAAUUCCAUGGAGCCAGGCUAGACACCACAUUUGGCACUUUCAGCUGUUUAGAUUUCAGAGAAUUAAAAGGAAAUGGUCACCGACCUGCCUUUGAUAGUACCCGUAUACCCCUUCCCACCAUAAGAAACCAGCGUUCCUUAGAGAAAUGGCUAAUUCUAGCUCUAGGGCAAGAAAUGCUAAGAUGUGCUCAAAACAUCUCAUUAUACCAGCAAGCCAGGGAGCCAUCAACGACUACUGGAGCUGUGUCAAAAGGACCAACAAACCAACUUGAAGAGGCUCCCGCUGGCCAACAGUGGGGCAAUUAGAGCAUCAAUAAGAAUAAUAUCUGUAACAAACUGAAACGUAUCAAAUAUGUUUAAAUUCAUAUGUUUAUAAUUACACUCAAAAAACGAAGAUGCAGACCACUUUACCUUGAGGAUGUUACAGAAUGAAAUUAUCAUUCUGAAAACUGGUAAAUAAAGAGAAGGUAUCAAGUAAGCAUGUAUCUGGCUUUUUCUAUAUGAAAUAAAGGAAGCCAAAUAGUAAACGAGGGGAAGUUUCUCUUUACUGAAAUAUUGCAGGUAAUAAAAGAAGAAGGAGAAACAGAGAACAUUAUCGUUUUAUGGCCUCUAAUGGAACAAGACAUCUAGGCAAUGAUGAACUAUGGUCACCAACAUCACUCAAUCAGGGACAAUCAGACACUGUGGGCCCCUGAAGGAAGUAAACACCACCACGUAGGAAAUAUUCUCACCAAAACUUCAAAAACUUGAAUCUGAUCUAGUCUUUAGUUUCAACUACUAAUUUACAGGCAAUACGGGGCUCAGAGGGAUGUGGUAAAAUGUCACGGAAAUAUAAUCAGCAAAAUCCAGUACAGAUAAUAAGAAGACAAAUGAUCCACAGAUGGAAAGGAAGAAUGUAAAGUUGUGUUGGUAAAGAAAUUCACAGAUUAAUAAAAGCUUAAAAAUGUACCA
Molecule: long non-coding RNA, 1243 nt
Filed under: Homo sapiens (human)
Lineage: Eukaryota; Metazoa; Chordata; Mammalia; Primates; Hominidae
Description: GPRC5D and HEBP1 antisense RNA 1, transcript variant 2 (GPRC5D-AS1)
Source: RNAcentral